RNAcentral lists this ribosomal RNA (253 nucleotides) under uncultured bacterium. RNAcentral's name for it is "partial 16S ribosomal RNA". It matches the Rfam family "Bacterial small subunit ribosomal RNA", at positions 524 to 776 of the family's 1533-position model. The record is from RNAcentral.
UACGUAGGGGGCAAGCGUUGUCCGGAAUCAUUGGGCGUAAAGCGCGUGUAGGCGGUCCGAUAAGUUCGCUGUGAAAGUCGGGGGCUUAACCCUCGGAUGCCGGUGAAUACUGUCGGGCUUGAGUACGGAAGAGGCGAGUGGAAUUCCUGGUGUAGCGGUGAAAUGCGUAGAUAUCUGGAGGAACACCGGUGGCGAAGGCGGCAUUCUGGACCAUAACUGACACUGAGAGACGAAAGCCAGGGGAGCAAACGGG